Neofelis nebulosa (Clouded leopard) is the source of this 1599-nucleotide long non-coding RNA. RefSeq lists it as uncharacterized. The record is from RefSeq and is a predicted model, not a curated record. Lineage: Eukaryota; Metazoa; Chordata; Mammalia; Carnivora; Felidae. The transcript has 4 exons.
CCCACUCUGUUACAGCACAGAGGAAAAUUGAGGCAAUCACCCAGGGUACGUAGGCGAAGUUGGAGCUUUGCUGGAAUGGUAGAAACAGUUGCCUUCAUUUUUCUCUCUGUGCUGGCAGUAGUUAUCAGCCGCACCACCGAGUGAUUUUAUUUAUAUAUUUUAUUUCCCUUGUUUUUUCAAAAACCAGUGAAAGUCACCUCAUAAUUUAGAAUAUUAAAGGAUCCACUAGUUCUAGUCGGCCUUGGGAUCCUAAGGGAAACUAAGUGUUUAGAAAACCCUCCUCCUACUGCUCAGACACCCUCCACACUCUGAAAUUACCCCAACCGGCUCAUAAUUGGGACCAGCUGGCAGGAUGAGAGAGGAGGCCCCUGCACCGAGCCAGGAAUCGCGUUACAAAUUUCAUCCCUAGAAAGAAGCUUGACUUGCUCCUUUAAGGGUUAAGAGGUAGGAGGUCAAAGCACAGCGCUUAGGAGCUGGGCUUUAAAUUGGCUACAGGGAACCUGAAAACAAAGGGUGUUCACAUUAGCAACCGUGGCUCCUUGCUUUGUCUAGGACAAAGUGUGUGCAAAAUAGCCCAGGCGACCGUGCUGGGCUACAGCCUCCGCCGAAUUUCACUUUACAGCCUGUCUUUCCAGAACUGGCAUCGUUAAUUUGUAUGCUGCCCAAAAGCUGUCCUUUUCCCAAAGCCCUCCUCACAAAGCAGAUGCAGACCUCCAGAAGUGCACCGGAAAUAGGAGUCAAUUUCAAGUGUCAGAAACCAAGACCCCUGACUGGUUCGGCAUCUGUCCCUGCAAGACUUAGAAAACCAACCCAGUGCUUAAGAGGGAGAAGUAGAGAUGAAAGAUGAAAGAUGGAGCAGCGGAAUCAAGAGAAGGAAUUAGCAGAACGGGAUCAGUGCAUUGAGGCUCCGAAGGAUAAAGUGACUUCUCCGUCGCUCACAGCCGACAUGUGGGAAAUUACAGUCUUCCAAUCCUUUGAAGUUAGCCAGGGCCCUAUGGCUACCUUGGAACAAUGUUGCCAGCCACUGUCCUAUGUAUCACUUCCGGAGGAAGCUUUUCAGUGCUGUGGGCACGGUUCUCCCUGCUUUUCUCCUGCCACACUCACGAAGGAGUCACAAACUAAGGUAAAGCAGCAAAGUGUGGAAGGGCUUCCGUUAGCCUGGAUCCCUGAGGCAUCUCAUGGAGAACCUGAAGAGUCACCCGGGACCUUGGUGGAUGUUGCACGAAUGAGAAAUGAAACUUUGCUGUGUUAUACCAUGAAACUUGGGGGUGUUCGUUAUCACAGUGUCGCCUGUCCUAUCCUGGUGGGUACAGUGUUUGGUUUUCCCUUUAAUUUUCACUGAAAAAAACCUGAAUCUGCCUUAGUUAGCUCAUUGGUCCGAGGAUGGUUCUAACAAGGCCAUGGACACAGAUUUAAUCUCCACGCAGGUCAAUUAAGUUCAUGGAGAGAAAAAUUAUGUGAGAGGCGCCUGGGUGGCUUAGUCAGUUGGGCGUCCAUCUUCGGCUCAGUUCAUGAUCUCACAGUUCCUGGGUUCAAGCCUCACGUCAGGCUCUCCGCUGUCAGCACAGACCCCCUUGAGGUCCUCUGUCCCCCUCUCUC